RNAcentral lists this ribosomal RNA (818 nucleotides) under uncultured eukaryote. RNAcentral's name for it is "SSU rRNA". It matches the Rfam family "Eukaryotic small subunit ribosomal RNA", at positions 629 to 1426 of the family's 1831-position model. The record is from RNAcentral.
CGGUGUUUAACUGGCGUGAUGUGGGACGUCCUACCGGUGGGCUUAGCCUCGCGAGGGGCGGCCCAACUAAUAUCCCGUCGCGGUGCUCUUUACUGAGUGUCGAGUCGGGCCGGUACGUUUACUUUGAACAAAUUAGAGUGCUUAAAGCAGGCUAUCCUCGCCUGAAUACUGCGUGCAUGGAAUAAUGGAAUAGGACCUCGGUUCUAUUUUGUUGGUUUUCGGAACCCCGAGGUAAUGAUUAAUAGGGACAGAUGGGGGCAUUCGUAUUGCGACGUUAGAGGUGAAAUUCUUGGAUCGUCGCAAGACGGACAGAAGCGAAAGCAUUUGCCAAAAAUGUUUUCAUUAAUCAAGAACGAAAGUUAGAGGUUCGAAGGCGAUCAGAUACCGCCCUAGUUCUAACCAUAAACGAUGCCAGCUAGCGAUCCGCCGAAGUUCCUCCGAUGACUCGGCGGGCAGCUUCCGGGAAACCAAAGCUUUUGGGUUCCGGGGGAAGUAUGGUUGCAAAGAUGAAACUUAAAGGAAUUGACGGAGGGGCACCACCAGGAGUGGAGCCUGCGGCUUAUUUGACUCAACACGGGAAACCUCACCAGGCCCAGACACCGGAAGGAUUGACAGAUUGAUAGCUCUCUCUUGAUUCGGUGGGUGGUGGUGCAUGGCCGUUUUUAGUUGGUGGAGAGAUUUGUCUGGUUAAUUCUGAUAACGAACGAGACUCUAGCCUGCUAAAUAGGCGUACCUUAUGGUAUCGCGAAGGCCCCCGGCUUCGGCCGGUGGGUUUUUACUACCAACGUACAAACAAAUCUUUUUAGAGGGACAGGCGG